GAUGAACGCUGGCGGCGUGCCUAAUACAUGCAAGUAGAACGCUGAAGCUUGGUGCUUGCACCGAGCGGAUGAGUUGCGAACGGGUGAGUAACGCGUAGGUAACCUGCCUGGUAGCGGGGGAUAACUAUUGGAAACGAUAGCUAAUACCGCAUAACAGUCGACAUUGCAUGAUGUUGAUUUGAAAGGGGCAAUUGCUCCACUACCAGAUGGACCUGCGUUGUAUUAGCUAGUUGGUGAGGUAACGGCUCACCAAGGCGACGAUACAUAGCCGACCUGAGAGGGUGAUCGGCCACACUGGGACUGAGACACGGCCCAGACUCCUACGGGAGGCAGCAGUAGGGAAUCUUCGGCAAUGGACGGAAGUCUGACCGAGCAACGCCGCGUGAGUGAAGAAGGUUUUCGGAUCGUAAAGCUCUGUUGUAAGAGAAGAACGAGUGUGAGAGUGGAAAGUUCACACUGUGACGG
Molecule: ribosomal RNA, 465 nt
Filed under: Streptococcus sp. oral taxon 066
Lineage: Bacteria; Bacillati; Bacillota; Bacilli; Lactobacillales; Streptococcaceae
Description: bacterial SSU rRNA
Rfam family: Bacterial small subunit ribosomal RNA
Source: RNAcentral